GUACACACCGCCGUCGCUACUACCGAUGGAAUGGCUUAGUGAGGCCUCAGAUUGACUUUUACGGCUGGCAACAGCUGUGUUAGUUGAAAAGUUGGUCAAACUUGAUCAUCUAGAGGAAUAAAAGUCGUAACAAGGUAACCGUAGGUGAACCUGCAGAAGGAU
Molecule: ribosomal RNA, 162 nt
Filed under: uncultured eukaryote
Lineage: Eukaryota
Description: partial small subunit ribosomal RNA
Rfam family: Eukaryotic small subunit ribosomal RNA
Source: RNAcentral